Molecule: small nuclear RNA, 107 nt
Organism: Phyllostomus discolor (pale spear-nosed bat)
Lineage: Eukaryota; Metazoa; Chordata; Mammalia; Chiroptera; Phyllostomidae
Source: RefSeq, a predicted model, not a curated record
GUCCUCGCCUCGGCAGUACAUACAGUAAAAUUGGAACGAUACAGAGAAGAUUAACAUGGCCCCCGUGCAAGGGUGACAUGCACACCCACGAGGCGUUCUGUAUUUUG